GAUGAACGCUGGCGGCGUGCCUAGUACAUGCGAGUCGAGCGAACGGACGAGAAGCUUGCUUCUCUGAUGUUAGCGGCGGACGGGUGAGUAACACGUGGAUAACCUACCUAUAAGACUGGGAUAACUUCGGGAAACCGGAGCUAAUACCGGAUAAUAUUUUGAACCGCAUGGUUCAAAAGUGAAAGACGGUCUUGCUGUCACUUAUAGAUGGAUCCGCGCUGCAUUAGCUAGUUGGUAAGGUAACGGCUUACCAAGGCAACGAUGCAUAGCCGACCUGAGAGGGUGAUCGGCCACACUGGAACUGAGACACGGUCCAGACUCCUACGGGAGGCAGCAGUAGGGAAUCUUCCGCAAUGGGCGAAAGCCUGACGGAGCAACGCCGCGUGAGUGAUGAAGGUCUUCGGAUCGUAAAACUCUGUUAUUAGGGAAGAACAUAUGUGUAAGUAACUGUGCACAUCUUGACGGUACCUAAUCAGAAAGCCACGGCUAACUACGUG
RNAcentral lists this ribosomal RNA (497 nucleotides) under uncultured bacterium. RNAcentral's name for it is "partial 16S ribosomal RNA". It matches the Rfam family "Bacterial small subunit ribosomal RNA", at positions 28 to 507 of the family's 1533-position model. The record is from RNAcentral.